This is a long non-coding RNA of Oreochromis niloticus (Nile tilapia), 1276 nucleotides long. RefSeq lists it as uncharacterized. The transcript is spliced from 3 exons. Lineage: Eukaryota; Metazoa; Chordata; Actinopteri; Cichliformes; Cichlidae. The record is from RefSeq and is a predicted model, not a curated record.
UGUGAUGGAUCCAGGACACAUCUAAACCCUGCAGGACACCGGCCCUCGAGCCCUGGGUUUGGACACUACUGAUCUAGAGAAAGUAUAUCAUGCCAAGAUAGGAAUUAUGAUGCUGUAUGAGGAAGUCAUGAGUGGCAGGUGGUUCAGGACAUACAUAGGACAGCCAUAAAAGGACAGGCAAGGCGGUGGUGACGUGUGCAGUAGGAAUAACAGGAGGAGAGAAGCUACUACUUGGCUACCACCUCCUGCAAAUGUCUUGCCUCGGCUCACAAGUAAGGAAUCUCCUCUUCCAAACUUUCAUACUACAAAUACAACUGCCAUUCCUGGACCAUCAAAAUUUAUGCUGCUCUCUCUAUUGAUUUGCAAGAUUUCGUGUGACACUGAAGCAACUGAUGUGAAGCGAUAUUAUCAAGAGCAUGUGUGCUCCAAGGAAAACACACUAUUGAUUGUGUGUUCUAAGGAGAAUCUGCCAGCUGAUGUUUCUACUGUAUGUUCAUGUUGGAUUGUUGCCCGGGCCAACAGUGUGUAAUGUGAAAUGCAAAGCAUUACAGUAUGUAACAGUUUGAAAUAACACAUGGCCUUUACUAAGUUGGGAAGAUAUGAUCAAAUAUAAAUUUACUGUAAACUUUUUAUAACAGUGUGGUGUGGUGCUGGAUUGAUUCUUAAAAUAGAAACUGAAACCAUUAAUAAUCCUGUAAAAUCUUUUAAUGAAAAAAUCCCAACAACAACAAUAAUCAGUACAACUUUUUAAUUUUCCAAAUUCCUUGCCAGCAACAAUCAACACAAAGGUUUCCAAACUCAAACAACUUUGACCUGUCAAAGACUAUAUUGAUGUUUGCUGUCCAAAAACUGCUACAUGAAAAAAUAUUCAAUUAAUAAACAUUGGAAGAAAUAAGACUACAAAAUUAUGUUAGAUUGUCUGUCUGUAGAUCUUUUAGACUUUGUCACAAGGGCAGUGUAACUGUAAAUAGACAUGACUGUUUUUUGUCUAAAAAAAAAAAAAACAAAAACAAAAAGGAAAAACAUAGACCAUCUAACAAUGGAGUACCUAUAAGUUCAAGAUACUCUUGGAUAACAACACCUUCAUCAGACUGAUUCUGGUUCUGGUUUAUCCAAGGGCUGGAGGGUGGUUUUAUUAUUUACAGUUAAACUGCACCAUUUAUGAUAACCUAAGAUAUGUGUUCCUGAUGCAGGUAAUGCACAUACUUCACAUUUCAGAAAUACUAUGCAUUAAAAAGUUGAAAUUUUCCUACACGCCAGGCUUUCUGGUGAUUAA